CAGGUUUUGGUUCAAAGAAACAGCGGAUCAAACCAACUCAUAUUCCAUCUUAACAGUCUGUAAAUCUUAUAGCUCUGAACAUCAGGCCAAUAAGGAAACACACCACUGAAACAAACCUCGGACCCUCUAUUCAAUACAAGGCACUAAACGCAAAACGACCACUGAACGACCACUGAACAAAGAUAUCAAUUGAUCAACAAUGGAUAACUAUUUGGAAAAUGGAAAACAAAUAUACGAAGAAUAUUGCUCAACAUCUGAAAACCUGCCCACAAUGCUUCCAAGAGCACCAGAGCAGACCUACAUUGAUGUAUAUCCAGAUGAAGAUCAGCCUGGUCCCAGCUUUACAGAUGACAGACGACAUCAAUUAGACUACGAGACUGAAGUUAAGGUGUAUAGGGCUUUGGAAGAGGUAGAUGGAAACUUCAUUGUUCUUCACAGUUUCAAAUACACGCAUCAUCAAUAUCGUUUGUGUGCAGGUAAAAGUCAUAUCCGAAAAGGAUGUUCUAAUUGUAAAGGCAAAAAUGCAGAAAAUCAGGAGGGGGAAAGUGACUUUCUCAUCAUUUGUGCGGACAGUUUCAUUAUCAUCGAGGUAAAGAACAUGGAUAAUGUUGGAGAGGUUUUGGAAUGUGAACCAGACUUCCACCUGUGUUCAAUUGGCGAGGACUGGCAACCUCAGUGUAACAGAGACCAGCAGUUGAAAGCAUUAAUCGGAACGUUCCAGAAAUCAGCCAAACAAAGAAACAAGAUUGUGGAACUGAUCAAGUGUAUUGAUAAGGAUGCAAAAAUUCUUCAGUUUACUGCCUAUCCUAAUUUUAGUAAACAGUUUAAAGAUGAGUUUAAAUUUAGUGAGAUUACAGAACUCCGGUUAAGUGACGAUGAACUGUCAACUAUCAUAUUUGAAGAGGACCUUUG
Bolinopsis microptera is the source of this 912-nucleotide long non-coding RNA. RefSeq lists it as uncharacterized. The transcript has 3 exons. The record is from RefSeq and is a predicted model, not a curated record. Lineage: Eukaryota; Metazoa; Ctenophora; Tentaculata; Lobata; Bolinopsidae.